Non-coding RNA from Gallus gallus (chicken), 1771 nucleotides. Lineage: Eukaryota; Metazoa; Chordata; Aves; Galliformes; Phasianidae. The record is from the annotation of a RefSeq genome assembly.
GACGAGGGGCGGCCCGAGCGCGGCCCCGCUCUGCUGCUGUCCGCCUCCCGGGCAGACGGCAGCGGCGCGGCGGGGCGCGAUGGCGGCCGGGCUGGGGCCGUGGCUGCUGGCCUUGGCCUUGGGGCCGGCAGGAGUGUGUGCACAGUUGAGACUGGAAACGUCUGGUGGAGGUGUGCGGGCGCCUGGAGAUUCUGUGCAGCUCUCCUGCCAGGGAUCUGGCUUCAGCUUUGGAAGUUAUGAUGUACUGUGGUACCGUCAGACACUCGGUGGCCGUCUCGAGUGGCUGUCCUACAUCAGCAGCAGCUCAUAUACUGUUAGAUACAGCCCAGAUGUGGAGGGUCGAGCCACGGUUUCUCGAGACAAUUCCCGAUCUGUGUCCUCUCUGUCUCUACGUGCCCUGUACCCACACGACUCCGCGCACUACUUGUGUGCUUUUCGCACGGGAACAGGAAAUCCUGAAGAGCUUCAUCAAAAAACCUCUUCCUGGGCACAGACACAGCUGCAGGAACCGCAGGGCUGGCAGGAGCUGGAGUAGGUCUGGGCUGCUCCUGGACAGUGUGGGGACAUUGCUGCACACCACAGAUGACCCUGUCCUUUCUGCAAUGUGUCCUUUUACUUCAUCACUCCAUUCAUUCUCCUGAGUCACAAAAGCAGUGUUGUGACCUGAGGAUUAUAUUCACUGUAUAUCUGGUCACCAGAUCAGUUUGGCCACUUUGCCCAACCUCCUACCUGCAGCAUGUCUGCACCUGCUCUUGGUUUCCUUCUUCCCUUGGGUACUUGAAGGCACUUGGGCACUUCUAGCUACAUAAUUGCCUGCUUCCAAAAUUUGCUACAGGCUCUUUGAAUCUGCUUCUGUGAGGAAAGCAGUGGGUGAAUAGUUCUGUCAUGAUCUCAGGAGAGUUUCAGAGUGCUGUAAUCCAACCAGUGUGGUCUGCAGUGUUGCACUGAGCAGGGCUAACAGAACCUGCAUGACACCUAAGUUACUCUGAUAGCAGUGUCUCCUGUUUGAUUCCAAAGAAAGUACAGCAGUUACAAAGAGUGCAAUAAUGCUAUUUGGUAGAGCAGUUUCACAGAUGCAGGACAUUAAUCAGAGUCAACACCGUUUUCGCCAGUGAUGAAGAAGAUCUUUCUUUUCAUGCUGAUGAAUACCUGCAGCAGUAGAGGUGAACCACAGUUUCACAGCUUCAAUGCUGGUACUGUUCCCAAGAAAAUGUUGCCCACACAAUACAUCUCUCAUCAGCCCAAACAGAUGGAAGUCCAAAGGUGCGAUACACAGACUAUAGCAUGGUUGUAGUAGGACUGUUCACCCAAGAUUGUCAAUGUGCACCAUGGCCUUCAAAUUGGUAUGGUGUGUGAUGUUUUCAUGUUGCAAGAGAAUGGCUGCCUCCUUCUCUGCCCUGACUCUGGAGGUUUGAGCGUUGUCAGCACUGAGACUGAGCGAUGUGAGCUGAUGCAUUAUCUGGGUUCUAUUAACUCUGGGAGGAUCUCCCCUUUCCUAUGCCAAAUGCCAGUGCACAUCGGUUUAACUGGUGAGGGCUGUGUCUCGAACUUUUUCUUCAGUAGGGAAAUAUCAUAUUGCCACUCUGGCUCUUUUGACUGUCUGGUAGUGGUGACACCAUGUCUCAUCACUGUUAAUGAUGUGACCCAGGAAACUGCCACCUUGAGCUGUGUAUGGGUUCAGAUGUUCCUGACAAACUUGCAUGCAUUGUUCUUUCUAUUCCUGGGUGAGUCUUUGUAGUUUCCAGCUAAUGAAAACUUUUCUCUAUGUUAA